This is a long non-coding RNA of Peromyscus eremicus (cactus mouse), 698 nucleotides long. RefSeq lists it as uncharacterized. The transcript is spliced from 2 exons. Lineage: Eukaryota; Metazoa; Chordata; Mammalia; Rodentia; Cricetidae. The record is from RefSeq and is a predicted model, not a curated record.
CAUUGUUCAAAGCCAAAAUGGGGACUGGAGAUAAUUUCAGUAGUUUAGAAUGCAAUGCUUGCUGCAGCCAGAAAACGACAUCCCUCUGUGGACUCUGUUUCAGUUUCUGCCUCCAAGUUCCUGUCUUGAGUUCCUACCCUGACUACCAUUUACAAUGGGUGGACUUAUGUCACCUGAGGUUUGACAGAGACCUUAGGCCUUCCUGAGGAGAGAGACUCCAGGCUUUCUGUGAGCAGGUGUUCCAUUGAGGCCCUUGGCAUCUGUUCAUCAACCAAGUGGGGACAAAGAGUGUGCUUCACUGGUAUGCAUCAGAAAGUGAGAGCUGUCAAUGAGAGUGCUGAGCUAAGAAGGAGACAUUACCAGAAAGACAUGUUUUGAGAUGUAGCCACCCUUGGAAACUCCCUUUUUGUCAGGAAGCACACGGGCUGUGCAUUCUGUCCAGUAUCUUCAUUGCGUCCCUUUACAGAUGGAAUGACUUAUGUCAGAAAGAGAACACAUCUCUCUGGUUGAACAUUCACCUUGACUGUUUACAUUUGGUCUCACAAAAGGCCAGGAAGCGAUCUGCCUUGACUGUUUAUUCUCAAGUUUUUCCUAAAAGAAUUUGAGGCUGAUUGAAUAUGCAACUCUGAAAUAUCUCCAGUGACUGAGAGGCUAGGAGCUAUUUGCCACUACUGUAAAUAAAGUUUUCCAAAUAAUAA